Molecule: transfer RNA, 76 nt
Filed under: Dyella choica
Lineage: Bacteria; Pseudomonadati; Pseudomonadota; Gammaproteobacteria; Lysobacterales; Rhodanobacteraceae
Description: Dyella sp. 4M-K27 tRNA-OTHER
Rfam family: tRNA
About the family: Transfer RNA (tRNA) molecules are approximately 80 nucleotides in length. Their secondary structure includes four short double-helical elements and three loops (D, anti-codon, and T loops).
Source: RNAcentral
UCGACGUUAGCUCAGAAGGUAGAGCAACGACAGAUGAUGUCGUUGGCCGCCGGUUCGAAUCCGGCACGUCGAGCCA